AUGGAGAGGUUCCAAUACCGGUUGGCUCGAUCAACCGGUAACAACCCACAUGAUGUUAAUGCGAAAAGCAUGAAUAACAAUAAUUUGUGGGUUGAGAGGAACGUUAACUCUCCAUCUUUAUACUCUAAUUAUAUCAACAAGAUGUCGCGAGAACAUCCCGUGGCAAAGACAAAGAGCCCAUCAUGGUGGAAUGAUCCAGAGAGAAAAAGAAAGAGAAGAGUGGCUAAUUACAAGUUUUAUGCAGCUGAAGGUGGGUGUUUGGUCAAAUGUAAAUGA
Vicia faba (fava bean) is the source of this 276-nucleotide non-coding RNA. The record is from the annotation of a GenBank genome assembly. Lineage: Eukaryota; Viridiplantae; Streptophyta; Magnoliopsida; Fabales; Fabaceae.